Molecule: transfer RNA, 62 nt
Filed under: Dicyrtomina saundersi
Lineage: Eukaryota; Metazoa; Arthropoda; Collembola; Symphypleona; Dicyrtomidae
Description: tRNA-Gly
Source: RNAcentral
AUGCUUUUAUUAUACAAAGUAAUUUUAACUUCCAAUUAAAGAGUCCUAUUUAGGAAAGCAUA